UACGUGGGGUGCAAGCGUUAUCCGGAUUUACUGGGCGUAAAGAGUGCCGUAGGCGGAUGGGUAAGUGUUUGGUUAAAGAUUCUGGCUCAACCAGAAGAAUGCUAGGCAAACUACCUGUCUUGAAGGUUGUCGGGAGUAUCGGAAUUCUCGGUGGAGGGGUGAAAUCCGUUGAUAUCGAGAGGAACACCAAAGGCGAAGGCAGAUACUUAGACAACUCUUGACGCUGAUGGACGAAAGCUAGGGGAGCGAAAGGG
This 254-nucleotide ribosomal RNA is filed under the name uncultured bacterium. RNAcentral's name for it is "partial 16S ribosomal RNA". It matches the Rfam family "Bacterial small subunit ribosomal RNA", at positions 524 to 776 of the family's 1533-position model. The record is from RNAcentral.